Dendronephthya gigantea is the source of this 551-nucleotide long non-coding RNA. RefSeq lists it as uncharacterized. NCBI's taxonomy places the organism in Eukaryota, Metazoa, Cnidaria, Anthozoa, Malacalcyonacea, Nephtheidae. The transcript is spliced from 3 exons. The record is from RefSeq and is a predicted model, not a curated record.
ACAUCACUGAAUGAAACUGCUUCAAUACGAAAGCUUACAAGUGAAGAUAUAGAUAGGAGAGGAUUUUGAUGGCGAGUAUGGUUAUCGAAUGAUUGAACUUUCAAACCUAGCAAGUGCAUUUCAGUCCUUGCAUAAUUGGGAAUUAGGCGGAGAGUUGAAAGUUACCGAUGAUGAGUCUCCUAGAUAUGGAAAUAGCACAGUCAUUGUUGAGUCAGAUAUUGCAGAGAUUGCUGUGAGUUAUGAUAGCACAUGGUCUAAGUGCGAGGGUUCACUGCAAACUUUGGAAUUGAUUUUGUUAUUUCGGUUGACACAGGUAACUCCAAUCUUGGGUGUGCUUCUUAUCAUCUUGGGCUUUAUAUCUGUUGUUUGAACCUGUCUAGGGGCAAAUUGAAAAGAGUCAGGGUGAUAUUGUUGCAGACAAGGAUGUUAUCAUUCGUCGUUCAUGGUUGAAUGAUGCGAAACAUAUGUUACGCUGAUACAGACAGAGCCACAGCAUCGGCAGUCCUUAUAUUGUGGGUUUGGUAUGUAAUAUACAAUUUCUUUUACCUAAA